CACGUAGGGGACGAGCGUUAUCCGGAAUCACUGGGCGUAAAGCGUGCGUAGGUGGAUGCUUAAGUGAGUUGUUAAAUCGUGUGGCUCAACCAUAUCGAUGCAAUUCAUACUGGGCGUCUAGAGGACAGCAGAGGCAAGUGGAAUUUGUAGUGUAGCAGUGAAAUGCGUAGAUAUUACAAGGAACACCAAUGGCGAAGGCAGCUUGCUGGGCUACUCCUGACACUGAGGUACGAAAGCGUGGGGAGCGAACAGG
Molecule: ribosomal RNA, 253 nt
Filed under: uncultured bacterium
Lineage: Bacteria
Description: partial 16S ribosomal RNA
Rfam family: Bacterial small subunit ribosomal RNA
Source: RNAcentral